AUUGAACGCUGGCGGCAGGCCUAACACAUGCGAGUCGAGCGGAUGAAGGGAGCUUGCUCCUGGAUACAGCGGCGGACGGGUGAGUAAUGCCUAGGAAUCUGCCUGGUAGUGGGGGAUAACGUCCGGAAACGGGCGCUAAUACCGCAUACGUCCUGAGGGAGAAAGUGGGGGAUCUUCGGACCUCACGCUAUCAGAUGAGCCUAGGUCGGAUUAGCUAGUUGGUGGGGUAAAGGCCUACCAAGGCGACGAUCCGUAACUGGUCUGAGAGGAUGAUCAGUCACACUGGAACUGAGACACGGUCCAGACUCCUACGGGAGGCAGCAGUGGGGAAUAUUGGACAAUGGGCGAAAGCCUGAUCCAGCCAUGCCGCGUGUGUGAAGAAGGUCUUCGGAUUGUAAAGCACUUUAAGUUGGGAGGAAGGGCAGUAAGUUAAUACCUUGCUGUUUUGACGGUACCAACAGAAUAAGCACCGGCUAACUUCGUG
RNAcentral lists this ribosomal RNA (484 nucleotides) under uncultured bacterium. RNAcentral's name for it is "partial 16S ribosomal RNA". It matches the Rfam family "Bacterial small subunit ribosomal RNA", at positions 30 to 507 of the family's 1533-position model. The record is from RNAcentral.